This 318-nucleotide ribosomal RNA is filed under the name Scrippsiella trochoidea. Its description in RNAcentral is "partial Bacterial large subunit ribosomal RNA". It matches the Rfam family "Bacterial large subunit ribosomal RNA", at positions 2169 to 2486 of the family's 2925-position model. Lineage: Eukaryota; Dinophyceae; Peridiniales; Peridiniaceae. The record is from RNAcentral.
CGCCAGUGUUGGUGGAGCCAUCCUUGAAAUACCACCCUGGUAUGUUUGAGGUUCUAACUCAGACCCGUUAUCCGGGUCGAGGACACUGUGUGGUGGGUAGUUUGACUGGGGCGGUCUCCUCCCAAAGCGUAACGGAGGAGCACGAAGGUGCGCUAAGCAUGGUCGGACAUCAUGCGGUUAGUGUAAAGGCAUAAGCGCGCUUAACUGCGAGACAGACACGUCGAGCAGAUACGAAAGUAGGUCAUAGUGAUCCGGUGGUUCUGAAUGGAAGGGCCAUCGCUCAACGGAUAAAAGGUACUCCGGGGAUAACAGGCUGAU